RNAcentral lists this transfer RNA (77 nucleotides) under Clostridiales bacterium. RNAcentral's name for it is "tRNA-Arg". It matches the Rfam family "tRNA". Rfam says of the family: Transfer RNA (tRNA) molecules are approximately 80 nucleotides in length. The record is from RNAcentral. RNAcentral also lists the same sequence under 1 other name. Lineage: Bacteria; Bacillati; Bacillota; Clostridia; Eubacteriales.
GCACCCGUAGCUCAGCAGGAUAGAGCGUCGGUUUCCUAAACCGCAGGCCGGGGGUUCGAAUCCCUCCGGGUGCACCA